Herpailurus yagouaroundi (jaguarundi) is the source of this 371-nucleotide long non-coding RNA. RefSeq lists it as uncharacterized. The transcript is spliced from 2 exons. Lineage: Eukaryota; Metazoa; Chordata; Mammalia; Carnivora; Felidae. The record is from RefSeq and is a predicted model, not a curated record.
ACUGUAUUCAGUUUCACAGUUUUUAUCUUCCAGCUCGGCAGUGGAUGUUCCCCUUUGGUUUGCAGCUGCUUGACACGCGUUGUCGUAUCACGUUAGACAUUUGUAGACGUGACGUUAGCGAAAGGGCAUCGGCUCAGCCCUUGAAUUCUGCAGUCUAAUACCAUGUGAGCCUGUGAUUCUCUAGAGGUGUUUCUUUAACGAAAAGAUCUCUGCUUGAAGACCGAGUGAGGAAAUUAGCACGUGUUUGAGGGAAAAGCUUGAAUCCGCUCCUGUCUAGCUCUCAGCUGUGAGACAAAUCAUUUAACUGGGUCUGUUUCCUUUUCUGUAAAACAAGAGGGCUGGAUUAAAAAUAUCGUUUGGCUCUCCUGAGA